This 486-nucleotide ribosomal RNA is filed under the name uncultured Micrococcaceae bacterium. Its description in RNAcentral is "partial 16S ribosomal RNA". The record is from RNAcentral. Lineage: Bacteria; Bacillati; Actinomycetota; Actinomycetes; Micrococcales; Micrococcaceae.
CACGUAGUUAGCCGGCGCUUCUUCUGCAGGUACCGUCACUUUCGCUUCUUCCCUACUGAAAGAGGUUUACAACCCGAAGGCCGUCAUCCCUCACGCGGCGUCGCUGCAUCAGGCUUUCGCCCAUUGUGCAAUAUUCCCUACUGCUGCCUCCCGUAGGAGUCUGGGCCGUGUCUCAGUCCCAGUGUGGCCGGUCACCCUCUCAGGCCGGCUACCCGUCGUCGCCUUGGUGAGCCAUUACCUCACCAACAAGCUGAUAGGCCGCGAGUCCAUCCCCCGACCGAUAAAUCUUUCAACAACCCACCAUGCGGUAAGAAGUCAUAUCCGGUAUUAGACCCAGUUUCCCGGGCUUAUCCCAAAGUCGGGGUCAGGUUACUCACGUGUUACUCACCCGUUCGCCACUAAUCACCCGUGCAAGCACGGGGUCAUCGUUCGACUUGCACGUGUUAAGCACGCCGCCAGCGUUCAUCCUGAGCCAGGAUCAAACUC